AUACGGAGGAUCCAAGCGUUAUCCGGAAUCAUUGGGUUUAAAGGGUUCGUAGGCGGGUUUAUAAGUCAGUGGUGAAAGUUUGCGGCUCAACCGUAAAAUUGCCAUUGAUACUGUAGAUCUUGAAUUAGUGUGAAGUGAUUAGAAUAAGUAGUGUAGCGGUGAAAUGCAUAGAUAUUACUUAGAAUACCAAUUGCGAAGGCAGGUCACUAACACUAUAUUGACGCUGAGGGACGAAAGCGUGGGGAGCGAACAGGAUUAGAAACCCUUGUAGUCC
Molecule: ribosomal RNA, 274 nt
Filed under: uncultured bacterium
Lineage: Bacteria
Description: partial 16S ribosomal RNA
Rfam family: Bacterial small subunit ribosomal RNA
Source: RNAcentral